UCCUACGGGGGGCAGCAGUGGGGAAUAUUGGACAAUGGGGGCAACCCUGAUCCAGCCAUGCCGCGUGAGUGAUGAAGGCCCUAGGGUUGUAAAGUUCUUUCACCUGUGAAGAUAAUGACGGUAGCAGGAGAAGAAGCCCCGGCUAACUCCGUGCCAGCAGCCGCGGUAAGACGGAGGGGGCUAGCGUUGUUCGGAAUGACUGGGCGUAAAGGGCGCGUAGGCGGUUUUUUAAGUGAGGCGUGAAAGCCCUGGGCUUAACCCAGGAGGUGCGUUUCAUACUGGAAGACUUGAGUGCGAGAGAGGAAAGUGGAAUUCCUAGUGUAGAGGUGAAAUUCGUAGAUAUUAGGAAGAACACCUGUGGCGAAGGCGGCUUUCUGGCUCGCAACUGACGCUGAGGCGCGAAAGCGUGGGGAGCAAACAGGAUUAGAUACCCUUGUAGUC
This 441-nucleotide ribosomal RNA is filed under the name uncultured Rickettsiales bacterium. RNAcentral describes it as "bacterial SSU rRNA". It matches the Rfam family "Bacterial small subunit ribosomal RNA", at positions 337 to 795 of the family's 1533-position model. The record is from RNAcentral. Lineage: Bacteria; Pseudomonadati; Pseudomonadota; Alphaproteobacteria; Rickettsiales.